RNAcentral lists this microRNA precursor (133 nucleotides) under Cajanus cajan (pigeon pea). Its description in RNAcentral is "miRNA gene-KK1_033730". It matches the Rfam family "mir-172 microRNA precursor family". Rfam says of the family: mir-172 has been experimentally verified in Arabidopsis thaliana. This family is thought to target mRNAs coding for APETALA2-like transcription factors. The mature sequence is excised from the 3' arm of the hairpin. The record is from Rfam by way of RNAcentral. Lineage: Eukaryota; Viridiplantae; Streptophyta; Magnoliopsida; Fabales; Fabaceae.
CUGUUUGCCGGUGGAGCAUCAUCAAGAUUCACAAGCUUUAGGUGGCAUUAAUUUGUUUGAGGUGGUCCCUUAUUGCUCCAAACCAAUUACCCCUUUGCUAUGAGAAUCUUGAUGAUGCUGCAGCAGCAAUUAA